AUCAAAAACAUAGUCGGCAGAUGACCUAAAUUUUUAUUGUCGAUAUCUUCUGCCCGGUGUUUAUAUAAACGGCCGCAGUACCUUGACUGUGCUAAGGUAGCAUAAUCAAUUGGCUAUUAAUUGUAGUCUAGUAUGAAUGAAGUAAUGAAUAGUAGCUAUAAUAAAAAAUAUUAUUUUAAUUUAAUGAACUGGUGAAAAUACCAGUAUAUAGAAAAAAGACGAGAAGACCCUUAGAGUUUUUGAAAUAAAGAUUGUUUAAGACUUUAAUUUAGACUACUCUUAAAGUAAUUAUACAAUACACUUUUUUGUUGGGGCGACAAGAAAGCAAUAUAACCUUUCUAUUGACACUAAAAGUGGUAUUAGAUCUGACGAUAUUAUUAUGAAUGACUAAACUACCUGAGGGAUAACAGCAUAAUGAUAAAUAUUUAGUUUGUGACCUCGAUGUUGGGCUAGGGACUUGUACACUAACCGAGAUAAAAGCUUGUUCUGUUCGAACAAUAAACCCC
RNAcentral lists this ribosomal RNA (506 nucleotides) under Physella acuta. RNAcentral's name for it is "partial 16S ribosomal RNA". It matches the Rfam family "Bacterial large subunit ribosomal RNA", at positions 1806 to 2596 of the family's 2925-position model. Lineage: Eukaryota; Metazoa; Mollusca; Gastropoda; Physidae. The record is from RNAcentral.